This 1666-nucleotide unclassified non-coding RNA is filed under the name Hevea brasiliensis (rubber tree). Lineage: Eukaryota; Viridiplantae; Streptophyta; Magnoliopsida; Malpighiales; Euphorbiaceae. The record is from RNAcentral.
UAUAAAAAAUAAAAAUAAUUAUAUUUACAAAUUAUGUGAAAUCACGUUUAUGUGCGUGCAAAGCACAUGCUAAUAUAUAGACUUAAAAUUUGCUUCACAUUUAUGAUUUAGCAGUGACGUUAUCAAUAUGGAGCCUCUAUUAUUUGUUUUCAAGUCCAAAAUUCGAAAUUUUCCCUCAAGAGAUUUAAUAACUAAAAAGUAAUAUGGUUUGACUAGUGUUGGUAGCUAAUUCCUAAUAAUUAAGACAGUGACCUUGUUGGUUGAGUUGUAUUGAAAAUUGAUCUACUCUCAAUAGUAGUUGUGGUCAACUUGUAACUGAAAUGAGGGGUGAAUUUCAUUAUGGUAGGCCUGCAUUUUUAAGAACAUAUAUCUGAAAGAGUUGAAUUAUCUAAACCUCUUAAAUGGUCAUAAUAUGAUGAUACACCUAUUUAUCUGACUAUGAUUCAAUGGAUUAUUCCAAAUUGCAGCCAGGCUACUCGCUUCGCACAUUUACAGGACAUUCUACAACUGUGAUGUCAGUGGAUUUCCAUCCUAGUAAAGAGGACCUUAUCUGUUCAUGUGAUAAUGACAGUGAGGUUCGCUACUGGAGUAUAAAGAAUGGUAGUUGUGUUGGAGUCUUUAAGGUAUAAAAUGCAGAUGUUACACAUAUUCAGGGGUCUUGUGCAACUUACACAUAUUCAGGGUUCUUGUGCAAGACUAAUAUUUUACCAAUAUUUACGGAUUUAGUUGCACUAUUAAGUAUUUAAUAAUUUUCUCAGGGCGGUGCUACUCAGACAAGGUUUCAACCUCAUUUUGGAAGGAUCCUUGCAGCUGCUGCAGAGAAUGUGGUAUCCAUACUAGAUGUUGAGACUAAAAUGUGUAGGCUUAAAUUCCAGGGCCAUAAAAACCAAAUCCAUUCUGUGUGUUGGGAUCCUUCUGGCGAGUAUGUGGCAUCUGUGAGUGAUGACUUGGUUAGAGUGUGGACGGUGGGCUCCGGCAGUAAAGGGGAAUACAUUCAUGAAUUGAGCUGUACUGGCAACAAAUUUCAUACUUGUGUUUUCCAUCCCACUUACUCGUCUCUGCUGAUCAUUGGCUGCUAUGAGAAUCUGGAGCUUUGGAACAUGGCUGAGAACAAGACGAUGGAUGUACGUGCGCAUGACAAAUUGGUAUCUGAUUUGGCAGUGUCAGAUGUUACUGGCUUGGUAGCUUCUGCUAGUCAUGACAAGUAUGUCAAGCUCUGGAAGUGAUUUCAUCGCUCGCUCUUUUUGAGUCUUCUCACAUUACCCGGCGUUAAUACAUAGAUGAUGUAUGCAUGCAAACGUUAUCCAGACUUUCUGACAGAUGCAUUUGUAGCUGUCAAUAAUGGCAAAUGGUUACAAACUGUUUAGCAGAAGGGGUUUUAAAUUUUAUCCAUUAUACGUUGGACGCUGACCCAGUCCCAAGUGACCCCAAGAUUUCAAAUUUUGUGCUAUGAUCCGGCAAGUACAAGUAUUUCAGGAAAACCUUGAAAAGUUUUGUCAUCGUAAAUGCAACAUAUGUAGUAUGUGAAUGCAAUGAUCAAAUAUAUAUUAUUCGUCUCAAAAUUUGCUGCUCUCUGAGACAGGCAACGAGUGAAUUGCUCUUGCAUGGUGUCCGGUUCAUUCUGCAAAAUUUUGUUUUUGUAGAAUUCAAUUAAAUUCAUUUGAAA